GAUGAACGCUGGCGGCGUGCCUAAUACAUGCAAGUCGAACGCUUCACUUCGGUGAAGAGUGGCGAGCGGGUGAGUAAUACAUAAGUAACCUGGCAUCUACAGGGGGAUAACUGAUGGAAACGUCAGCUAAGACCGCAUAGGUGUAGAGAUCGCAUGAACUCUAUAUGAAAAGUGCUACGGGACUGGUAGAUGAUGGACUUAUGGCGCAUUAGCUUGUUGGUAGGGUAACGGCCUACCAAGGCGACGAUGCGUAGCCGACCUGAGAGGGUGACCGGCCACACUGGGACUGAGACACGGCCCAGACUCCUACGGGAGGCAGCAGUAGGGAAUUUUCGGCAAUGGGGGAAACCCUGACCGAGCAACGCCGCGUGAAGGAAGAAGUAAUUCGUUAUGUAAACUUCUGUCAUAGAGGAAGAACGGUGGAUAUAGGGAAUGAUAUCCAAGUGACGGUACUCUAUAAGAAAGCCACGGCUAACUACGUG
This 482-nucleotide ribosomal RNA is filed under the name uncultured bacterium. Its description in RNAcentral is "partial 16S ribosomal RNA". It matches the Rfam family "Bacterial small subunit ribosomal RNA", at positions 28 to 507 of the family's 1533-position model. The record is from RNAcentral.